Molecule: transfer RNA, 85 nt
Filed under: Candidatus Woesearchaeota archaeon
Lineage: Archaea; Nanobdellati; Candidatus Woesearchaeota
Description: tRNA-Ser
Rfam family: tRNA
About the family: Transfer RNA (tRNA) molecules are approximately 80 nucleotides in length.
Source: RNAcentral
GCCGAGGUGCCAGAAUCCGGUAAAUGGGGCCGGCUCGAAACCGGCUGUGUUCACACACGUGCAGGUUCAAAUCCUGCCCUCGGCG